AAACUCUUUGAUCAAUGUUUAAUAUAUUCGUUGCCAUCCAGGACACUUUCCCUGUAUUAGAAGAACUGACACUGAAGACGAAUGAUAUGGUGAAGGGGAUAUGUGAUGGACAGCUCUCAUUGCAGUGUUUCCAAAACCUUAAACUUCUUAACCUCCAAUUCUUUCGUGAGGCAUCCACUACUCUUCCAUAUUCAUUCAUUCGGUCACUACCAAUGCUUCAUAAGCUUGUUAUAGACAAUGCUUCCAUUUGUCAAAUAGUACAAUCUGAAGGACUCAGCGACGAGGAAAGGCAUACAUCAGCAUUCUAUCAGCUAAAGGAAUUAAGUUUGUUUCAACUUCCAGAGUUGACGUUAAAGACUUUUGAACCAUCUUUGCUGUCUUUCAAAAAUCUAACAACACUGGAAGUUUCAAGAUGCCAUGGGUUCAUCAAUUUAGUCGCAUGCUCUACAGCUAAGUGCCUGAGGCUACUAGAAAGAUUGAGUAUAGAUGAUUGUGAGAAGAUAGAGGAAAUCAUAGCGUGUGAGGCUGAAGAAAUUCAAGGCGGCAUUGUAUUUCCCAAACUGAAGUAUUUGCAGCUAAGUUGUCUGCCAUGUCUAGCAAACUUUUCCUUGGCCCAUCACUCGUUGGAAUUCCCAGUCUUGCUAAUGGUGAUGGUGACAAAGUGCCCCCAAAUGAGGAGUUUCUGCCAAGGAGAUUUAAGCACACCAAGGCUGGAACAAAUGCACUUAACAAGAGAUGAGGAAGGUGAACUGCAGUGGAAGGGCGACCUUAACACUACCAUAAAACAUAUGUUCGAUGAAAUGGUACAAAUCAUUUAAAGGAUUUAAAUUCAUGUGUUUUUACAUACAUACAUACAUACAUACAUACAUACAUACAUACAUACAUACAUACAUACAUACAUACAUACAUACAUACAUACAUACAUACAUACAUACAUACAUAGUUAAUUGAACAAUUCUUGGUUUGUUAUGAUCAUGCACAGAAUGUGCAAAAUUCUGAGGUGACGGAGGUUACUGAUCGGUCGCCCAAGCUGGAAUAAGGAAAUAAGUUUGGGUGCGUAUGCGAAAUGCUCAAUUUCGUUUGAAUUCAAAACAAAUGGUAAUUCAUCUUCUAUUUUCAUCAUGGCUUAACUAAUGCUUUAUAAAGUGACCAUAGAGACGCCCUUUUCAUUGUAGGUUGAGUUGCUCUACUGAAGUACGAGGCUGCAACUUUUGGUAAAAUGUGAAAGGUUAUUUCAGUUUUUGUAAAACUACUAUUUGAACUGUUCCAUUUCACAUUAUACCCUCAAAAUUGAAUUUCAAGUGCAUCAUGCAUGGCAUUGGGCUACAAACAUGUAAACUUUUACUAGUAAGGUUGACCCCUGUUUUAAGGAUUUGCCAACUUUUGAUGGUUACCAUAUCAAUGUCAGCUUAAAGCUAUCAAGUAUCUUUACAAAUAUAAUAUAUAUUAUUCCUUAAUGAGGGAUAAAAGUAGGCAAUUAUCUACUAAUGAUACGGCUGAUUCUGAAAAGACGGCCGAAAUUGAAUCAAUGGGUUGUUGGUAUUUGCCUGAUGGAAGAACAGGGCCUAAUGUUAAGUGGAUUCUGAUCAAGUUUUAAAUUUUCAGUUGUAGGCUUUAUUGAUUGUUGCCAUUUGGUUGUUGAUCCUCUGAUUUUACGAUUGACUGUCUCGCUUAUACGUUGCAAGGUUGGCAGGUCUCAAGUAUGAAUUUCCAAGCCGGCCUUCAUCCAUAAUUAACCAAGUGUUCCAAUCCAUGGAGUUUAUGGUUUAUGGUUUAUUAGUGUAACUGUCCAUUUGGUUAUGGAUUGGUUCUUAAGGUGUUUUGAUGCUUUGUAUGUUACAGUGUUUGCUCCAAGCAACACGCUUUAAUUUCUAAUGAAUUUUAUUUGUUGAGGGAAAAAAAUAUGAGGAUUAAUCUGAUAUUUUUAUUUGUAUAUUUUAUAUCCAUUUUAUAAUUCAUAUUUGAGAUUUGUAUUAUGCCCUUAAUAUUUCAUUAUUUAUUGUCUAUGUUACUCAUUGUUGCAAAAAAGAAAAAAAAACAAACACAGUGCAUGCAUAAACCAUAAAAAAAAACAUAAGCAACUAAUAAUGAAAUAUAUUAAAAUGAAGAAUGGCAAUUGAUUUCAGAAUUACCCCAAUUUCGGUAAAUACAUUAAAACAUAUGUCUCUACUCGAUUUCAAUUUCGAAAUUGAAAAAAUUGGUAUUUCUAAAAAUAUCUAAGUUAUUCAAUUAUUUCUAUUUUUGAAAGUGAUAAAUUAAGGACAAUUAAUCACAACGUUAAUAUUUUUCAUCAAUUAUACAUAGUUUUCUUGGUAUAAUGAUAAAUUUAGCCCUCAAAGUUUACACAUUCUAUCAAAUUGUCAUCGAUUUAAAAAAUUUAACCCACAACAUUUACACAUUUCGUCAAUUUAAUCAUGAUUUAACAUAUUUAACCCGUAAUAAUUACACAUUCUAUCAACAUUUACGCAAAAUAUACAAUCAUCAAGGAUUAAAUUUAUUUUUAUACUAAUAAAAAAUAUGUAUAAUUAACAUAAACUAUUGGCGCUUGAUUAAUUGUUCGUGGUUACUUUCAAAAUUGAUAAGGAUUAAUUGUUCGUGGUUACUUUCAAAAUUGAUAAGGAUUAAACUAUUCUAUUUCUUUUAGAGUGACCAAUUUGUUCAAUAUCAAAAAAAUAUUUUUUAUUUUUUUUAAUUUCAUAGGUAAGAAAAUCUCAAAUCACACAAUUAUUAUUUUUCCUUCCAUACCCCUAUGCCACCGAAGAAAAUUUACAAUGUCACACAAUUUGGCUUUAAACCCUUAAAAAAGAGUUGAAUUUAAUCAUCAAUUUUUUAAAAAGAAUUAAAUUAUUAUUUAACGGAAACAAUAAAUUUUGAAAUACAUAUAAUAAUUCACGCGUAUUUCAUAUAUAUUUUUAAUUUUUAUGAUUGUAAUACCAAUUUUUUCUGCCCGGGCCUAUACAAAAUAAAAUACAGCAGGCCCAUCUACAGACCAAACCCAUAUUCAAAAAAAACCUAGCCUAAGAAGCAGCAAGCUUCAGCCGCAUGCCCAACAGCAGCCUCCCUAACUGCCGUCGCAUCCUCCGCGCACGUACACCUCUUCCACGGCCUCCAUACCUACGAGAAAAGCGGAUCCAAACAGCAAUAGACGCAACAAAUAAUGAAAUAGGAUUUUUUACUUUUAUUUUGCUGUAAUUUUGGCUAUAAAAAGCCAUCAAAAAUCUGUAAAAUGGGGGGAACCAAUAUUGUAUUGAGAGAAUACUGAAAUACAAAAAUAGGGAGAAAAUAUUGAGAUUACAAAGAGAUUUUUGAAGGUGAAUCGUGUUUAUUUUUUUCCAUUUUUUCCAUUCUUUUUUAUUUUAUUUUUUAUUUAUUUUUAAUUUAAAAUAUAAAGAAGGGAGGAAGGACUUACCUCUCUCGCCGGAUUCGUAUAUAUAUUUAUAUAUAUAAAAAAUAUUUCUCUAAUACAUAUACAUAUUUUUAUAUAUAUAUUGUUAUUAUUUCUUUUUUAGCUUUUAUAUACAUAUAUACGUAUAUACAUUUAUAUUUCUAUUAUAUUUAUAUAUACAUUCUUUUAAAAUUAUUAUAAACAUUUUAUUGUUCUACACAUUCCAUUAUUUUCAUAUUGCACCUAUAUAUAUAAGUAUCUAAAUAAGUACAUAUUUUCAUGAUUGACCUACUUAUAUACUCAUACAUUUUUAUUUUGUAAAUAUAUGCACGUAUACAUAUGUUUUUUUAUUUUUAUCUUCACAAUUUUCACAUACAUAUGUACAUGCAUAUUAUUAUAAGUUUUGUUUUGUAUAUUUCAUUCCCUUUUAUGUACACUUAUAUUUUUUAAAAUGUAUGCAUAUACAUGUUUUCAAAAUUCAUUUAUGCUUUAUACUUAUAUUUUGAAAACACAUAUAUACAUAUAAUUUAAAUUAAAAUAUUUGUAUCAUAUUGUACAUUACCUUUUUAACGUACCCUUUUUGAAAAUAUGUUUUGGUUUUAACCAUACAUCAAAGUUAUUUUCUCGCUCCAAAGGUUUUUUUUUUUGAAUAAAAGCAAUGUUCGAAGCUUGAGAUUUUCGAGGGAAAUUGAGCCCUAACGUAUUGGGUUCAGAUUUUCUUUGUUAAUCUUAAAUAACCGAGGAUAUUCUUUAUUCAAAAUGCAUGAGCAUAAAAAUCAUUUUUGGGAACUUAACUUGUCGUGCCCUAACGUAUUGGGUGUGGCAUGUUACUUUCUCGAAAUAAAUAUUUUCGCAUGAAAUAAAAGUGAUAUUCAAAGUUCGGGGAUUAUGAGGAAUUGUACCCUAACGUAUUGGGACUCGAUUUCUUUACAUGACUUGAACAAUUUGUUAUCCUUUUACAAAUUUCAUCAUUCAAGCUUAUUUUAAAAUCUUUUUAACUUUCGACACUAAGACAUUAAAUGAUCAAUUUGGUACCGAUUUUGGGCGUCACGAGGGUGCUAACCCUUCCUCGUGCGUAACCGACUCCCGAACUCGUUUUCUCAAAAUUCGUAGACCAAAAUAAUUUUUAAGGUGACCCGAUCACACCUUAAUAAAAGAUCGGUGGCGACUCCAGUUUUGUUUUAAAAGUCGACAACUAAAAUUUUUGUUUUUCAAAAAACGGUUUCGACAGCUUGGCGACUCCACUGGGGACACUAAAGAGUCGAGCCAUAAAUUGGUUAUUUGUUCGUCUUGUGAUCGAAAAUCAAAUUUGGGUUUUAAAAUCAUGAUUUCCCUUCAUUUUUUUUACCAUGGAAUGUUGGUAACCUUGCAUUUGCAUUUUGCAUUUUACCCUUAAGUGGGAGCGAGAAACUAGUCCUUCGUGAGGUUUUCACCUCCGUGCAGGGUAAUGGACCGCUUCCGGGAUACAUCCGUACCUAUGUCUUCGUGAGAUUUUCAUCUCCGUGUAGCCAUAGGGAAAUGUGUCCCCCUGAACCGAACUCGAUCCACAUGAGCCUAUAAUGGGUGAGGAUCGAGGAAUCUGCUGGUCGGGUACCUUUACUCUAGAAACUAAACCUCAUAUAGUGAGCUUUAGGAACUUACCUUAGGUAGAAGUACUCUAAACCUUAGGAGAUACCUGACUAGGAGUUUUUAUUAUUUCUUGCUUAUAUUGGAUUUAAUGUUUAUACCCGAUACUAACUCGUUGCAUUUUGUUUUGAUUGCAUGACAUCAUGAUCGCAUUGCAUUUUCAUCAUAAAAGAGGUGUUGAUUCACGUUCGGUUGUUAAUAGAGAGCUUGUCAUAAGGAAAUGGGUUUCUUGAUAAAAUAGAAAAUAAUACGGUUGCCCGAAUAUGUUCCGAGAAAACACAACAAGAGAAAGAUGAUAGUUUAAUGGAGGACUACAUAACCAUUGCUUCGUUGCCCGAAGACUCAAGCUGAUGAAGGCUAUUCGAGAGCCGCUGAACUUUUUGUUUAAGGGAAGCCAACGAGCAUCACGACGAUAAAGGAGCAACGAAGAACAGUCCGGAUCAAGUAAAAUGGAGAUAGAAGAGACAUCUAUUUUGAAGAAUUCACAAGAUUUAUCUUAGCAUCCAGAUGAAGAAGGAGAAGAUGUCCUCGCUUGGAGCAUGAGGGCAAAGCCGUAUAUAUAUAUCUGCUUUAUGUAAAGAAAUUUAUCUUCUAGAAAAGUUUUCUAAAUAGAAUUGAAUCAGAAUCAACGUCUCUUUUUGCAUUCAUCAAAUGCAUUUGCAUUACAUAGCAUCAUAUGCAUUAAAAUCCAUUGAAAGAGCCUAAUUAAUUAAAAUUAUUGCUUAGUUAACCUGGAAACCAACCAACCAACCCGACACCGAUACGGCACUCGAGCAAAGACAAAAGAUAUGGAUCAGAGAUUAGAGAAGCUCGAACAGUACCAGAAGGAGAUGCAAGACCGGCUUCAGCUACAAAUGCAGGAACGGUUAGACAAGAUGAAACAGGAGAUGUCUGAGAAGAUGCGGAAUCUCAAGAGGACAUAGUGGCAAAGUUAACCCGAUUGAUAACUAAAGGAGGUGAUAAAGGAAAGGGCCCCAUGGCAGAUGUCGAUGAGGGAAAUGAUGAUGAACUUUUCUAUCCUCCAGGUUUCAUCCCUCCACAUGAGCGAACUCAAGCUGAAUACCCGUGCAAAUCUACUGUCACCAUCAUGCCUCAGCAAUUUCGAGCUGGUAUUUCGAACCACCAAACUGGGCCGAGCUUUAAUCCUGAAAAUAAUCCUAUUAACUCUGCCAUUCCUGACUUUGAUGAAGUGGUUGAGAAGGAAAGAAUGAAGGAAAAGUUACCGAAACAGUUGGAAGAAAGAUACAGGUGGCUCGAAGAGAAGUUCAAGGCGAUGGAAGUCACUGAAAGUUAUCGAGGCAUUGACGCAAAAAAGCUGAGUUUAGUGCCAAAUUUAGUACUCUCUCAUAAAUUUAAGAUGCCUGAAUUUGAAAAGUACAAUGGGACAAGCUGCCCAGCAGCUCACAUCACCAUGUUCUACAGGCAAAUGGCUGGAUACGUUAACAAUGACCAACUAUUGAUACACUGUUUCUAAGAUAGCCUAGCAGGGGCAGCAUCUAAGUGGUACAAUCAGUUGAGUCGUGCCACGGUUGGUUCAUGGAGGGACUUGGCGCAAGCAUUCAUGAAACAAUAUAGUCAUGUGACAGAUAUGGCUCCUGAUAGAAUCACCCUUCAGAAUAUGGAGAAGAAGCCGAGCGAAAGCUUUAGGCAGUAUGCACAGAGAUGGAGGAAGGUCGCAGUCCAAGUUCAGCCACCACUCUUGGAAACGGAAAUGGCCAUGCUAUUCAUUAACACCCUAAAAGCACCUUUCAUCACACAUAUGUUAGGAAGUGCCACAAAAAGCUUUCCUGACAUAGUCAUGAAUGGUGAAAUGAUUGAGAGCGCUAUAAGGAGCGGGAAAAUUGAGACAGAUGAGAGUAAUAAGAGGUCAAUCUCAAGAAGAAGAGAAAAUGAGGUGGACAACACGGGUUACUCUAAAUCAGUUACUGUGAGUCAAACAAGAAAGGUGGUUGGUAAUCAACAGAAUUCAUCGAGGCAAGAUUCCGGCAUAAAGACUGAGAGGCCCCAAUUCACGCCAAUUCUGGUACCGUAUAAGGAACUGUAUCAAAAUUUGUUUGAUGCACAUGUUGUUUCCCCUUUUCAUGUGAAGCCUCUACAACCGCCGUAUCCUGAAUGGUAUGAUACGAACACACAAUGUGAAUAUCAUGCGGGAAUUACGGGACACUCGAUUGAGAAUUGCACUGCCUUCAAGAAGCAAGUUGAAAGACUUAUCAACAUGGGUAUUGUCAAGUUUGGUGACUCGUCCAGCGCAGGAAAUCCGCUACCCAAUCAUGAUUGAGGAUGGAGGGACUGCAAUAUAUGAAGAAGUGGUGAGAAAUUUGCACAUCGAUGCGGACACAAUUAAAAGGGUCCUUGUUAGAUAUUCGCCUUAGAGGUGUUCUAAAUAAUGGGACUGCAAAGGAAACCCCUAAAAUAUUUAGAGUCUGUUAGAGUAAUGUUAAGAACACACUUGUUGCUUUCAGCCUAGAAGCAAUAGGAGUUUCUUUGUGAAAUAGGCUCACGUCUGAACAUUAUUAUUUUAAUGAAAUACAUUAUUGCAAUCAUCUUUGAGCAAAUGUUCUUUCAUUCUUUACGAUUUCUUUAUUUUUUUUCCUUUCAGAUUUUUUCUGCCAAAUUAUUCGUUCAUUCGUUCAUAUUAUUCAUACAUUCUUUUGUAUAUUCUUUGGUACCCACUAUGGGUCCCCAAAUAUCAAUGACAUGAGUGACGCUGCUACAGACUCAAAUCGCCUUUUGAGUGAGACAUGUGUUUAGAGGGAUCUCAUGGCUUUGAAGAUGUCAUAAAUUGCAGCUUAUCUCCUAACUUGUUGAGGAUGGUAAAGCAAUAAGAGAAACAAAUGAGACAGCAGAGACUACGACCUUGAGAAAACAUGCAUGACCGAAGAAUAAAGCAAGACGUUGCUGAGUUACUUCAAGCAUCCAAAGAUGCCUUCGCAGGGUCAUACCAGAAUGUGCCCGGUUUAAGCGAGGUCAUUACAAUCUGAACAACAGCACGAUAUCAAAAGUUUGCAACAUGUUCAAGGUGAAUAUCAUGAAUGGUGCAAUGAAAACUCUACCGGGGCAAUGCCACUCUUUCCAGUUUAUCACGUUUUUUCAUUGAAGUUGAAAUUCUUUCUAUUCGAGUUUUGGCUGAGCUAAGGUAGGAUGAAGAUCCAAUCCCGAUACGAUUAGUUGAACUUAGUUGAAGAAAAAGGCUAGAAACUAUUCAUCAGGCUCAGAUGCACCAAGAAAUGAAUGAUGCGAGCCUAUAGCAAAAGGUUUGUCCCAGAGAAUUCCACGAUGGCAACCUAAUGCUAAAGAAGAUCCUCACUCUACAAAAAAAUAUAACGGAUGCCAAAUUGGGAAAAAAAUUAUGUUAUAGAGAAGGUCUUUUCCAAAGGAGUUUUGAUUUUGGGCGAGAUGGAUGAUAAACCUGCAAAGUCCUGUAAACUCAGGUUCAGUCAGGAAAUACUCCGCUUAAAGAAUGAGAUGACCAAGGUGAAAACCCACAAAGGGUGCUUUGAGUCCAAAAAAAUAAAAAUAAAAAAAGAGAAAAAGAGGAAAAUGGAGAGGCUAAGGUGAAAACCCGUAAAGGGCGCCUUAGACCAAAGGGGAUUUGAGUUGAAAACCCGAAAAGGGCGGCUCAAAUAUUGAUUAGAAUGGGGCACGAGAUUAUCGGAGUAGCUCAAAUACUGAUCAGAAUGGGGCAUGCAAUGGUCUUGCUAUACCUAAAUCAACAAGAAAUGGUAGGCGACAUCUUGGGGCAUCGACAAAGUAUUCCUAAACGCAUGUCAAACUCAGAAUGAUCUUCAGAAAGUCUGUACAGCAAAGUUCAAGCUGCGAUAUUUGGGGCACCUAAUUCUUAUAUUAUUUUUUGUUAUUCUUGGAACACUUCAUUCAUUUCCAAAAUACGCAUUCCUAAAUCAAUUUCUUUAUUAUCCAUCUUUAUUAUAUUUGACAAUUUAUUCAUUUCGAGCUUUGCUCAGAACCAACUCUAUUCUUAUCCAUGGUCUUUUUGCAAGCAUGUUUCAUUAGAAUAAUGAUUCAUAGACUAAUAAAACUUUCACAAGGGAAGUUUUGCAUAUUACUCUAGAAGUUUCUAAAUAAUAUAGGAUCCUCAAACAGGACUAUUGUUUAGAAUGCACUAGGUUGGAAAUCUGAUAAGGAAAAGUCUAAAUUAAGACUAUCCCUUUGAAUUUUCUUGUCUAAAGUAUUAAUUGAACAAAAUGGCAAGAUGUCGUGUUGGUGACAAAGCUUCAAUGAACAAGCAAGCAAUGAUCACCGGAUAAUAAUAAGAAGUUGUUCUUGGAGAAGAUUACUUUAUUUGUGCAUGAGCAUUUGGUACAACACCCUGGGAAUGGUGUAAGAGACCAAAGAGUUUCACAUCCUUGAAUUGUGAUAGUGGAGGAUUAAGAAAAGGCCAAAACUUUUUACUCUCGGGUUACAACGGGAGGAAGAUGGUACAAAUUUUCGCAUACCAUUGAAUCAAACUUGGAGGUUUACAGUGGGGGCAACCUGGUCAAGUGUUUCUUUGGAGACGCCAGCCGAGCAAAAGGUGCUAUAGCACAUUAGCGAUGAAACUUUAAAUAAACUUUGAGUAAUGAUAACCUAAGUGAAAAUGAGGGAUCAUUCUCGAAAAAAUGACAUUCUGCAUUCAUUCAAAUGUCAUUCAUACACGCCUAGUUAGGAGCAUUUGAUUCAUUUGAUCAUGACAUCCUAAUCAUUAGGCAUAGUUAGGUUCAUAAAGUGAAUUAUACAGGUCAUGUUCCCUAGAGAACAGAUCGGUGAAAUCAUAAAGCCUUAUCUCCCUGAACAAUAGUGGAGCAGGUUGAAAAGCAGCAGGUCUUGUCUUCCUAUAUUGGUAGCGAAGUGGAUCGAAUAUACAGAUCUCGCCUUCCCAUACUGGUGGCGAAGCAGAUCGAAGGAAAAAACAGAUCUUGUCUUAUGGCGUGAAGUAGAUCAAAGAUAACAGAUCUCGCCUUCCCAUACUGGUGGCGAAGCAGAUCGAAGGAAUACAGAUCUUGUCUUCAUGUACUAGCGUGAAGUAGAUCGAAUAUACAGAGCUCGCCUUCUCAUACUGGUGGCGAAGCAGAUCGAAAGAAAGUAGAUAUUGUCUUCAUGUAUCAGCGUGAAGUAGAUCAAAGUCAACAGAUCUUGUCUCCCCAUACUGGUGGUGGAGUAGAUCAAAGAAAGUAGAUCUUGUCUUCAUGUAUCGGCAUGAAGUAGAUCAAAGUCAACAGAUCUUGUCUCCCUAUACUGGUGGUGGAGUAGAUCAAAGAAAGCAGAUCUUGUCUUCAUGUACUGCAUGAAGUAGAUCAAAGAAACAAAUAUUGUCUCCCCAUACUGGUGGUGGAGUAGGUCGAAGAAAACAGAUCGUGUCUUCAUGUACUGGCGUGAAGUAGAUCAAAGAUAGUAGGUCCCGUCUUCCUAUAUUGGUAGCGAAGUGGAUCGAAUAUACAUCUUCCCAUACCGGUGGCAAAGUAGAUUGAAGAUUACAGAUUUUGCCUCCCUAAGCAGUAGUGGAGCAGAUCGAAGAUGGCGGAUUUUACCUCCCUGAAGUUGCAGUGGAGUAUAUUGAAGCCAGUAAUUCUACCUCCCCGGUCGGCAGUGGAAUCGAUUGAAAAAGCAGAUCUUGUCUUCAUGUAUUGGCGUGAAGUAGAUCGAAGAAAGUAGAUCGAAGAAAGCAUAUCUUGUCUUCCCAUACUGGUGGUGAAGUAGAUCGAAGAUACAAGUCUUAUCUCCCUGAAGUUGCAGUGGAGCAGACUGAAGUAACCAAUCCUAUCUCAUUGAAGUUGCAAUGGAGUUGAUUAAAACCGCAGAUCUCAUCUCUCUGAAGUUGCAGUGGAGCAGAUCGCGCCAGAUUUAUCUUUAAGUUGCAGCAGACCAAAUUGAAACUAUAAGUCUUGUCUCCCUGAAGUUGUAGUGGAGCAGAUUAAAGAUAGCAAAUUUAGUUCUUUUGAGAAGCUACAAUGUAUGAAUCCUAUCUCUUCGACAUUACAGUAGGAGUGGAUUGAAGCACCAGUUCCUAUACCUCUGGAGAUGUAGUGGGAAGGAACGAGGCUACUAACGCUAAGGUCCAUAUGGCCGGGCAAAAAUUGGUCUUUUUAAGUCAUUGCUCUAUUCUCGUCACACGAUAACGAGCAAAGAGGGGCAGCUGUAAUACCAAUUUUUUCUGCCCGGGCCUAUACAAAAUAAAAUACAGCAGGCCCAUCUACAGACCAAACCCAUAUUCAAAAAAAACCUAGCCUAAGAAGCAGCAAGCUUCAGCCGCAUGCCCAACAGCAGCCUCCCUAACUGCCGUCGCAUCCUCCGCGCACGUACACCUCUUCCACGGCCUCCAUACCUACGAGAAAAGCGGAUCCAAACAGCAAUAGACGCAACAAAUAAUGAAAUAGGAUUUUUUACUUUUAUUUUGCUGUAAUUUUGGCUAUAAAAAGCCAUCAAAAAUCUGUAAAAUGGGGGGAACCAAUAUUGUAUUGAGAGAAUACUGAAAUACAAAAAUAGGGAGAAAAUAUUGAGAUUACAAAGAGAUUUUUGAAGGUGAAUCGUGUUUAUUUUUUUCCAUUUUUUCCAUUCUUUUUUAUUUUAUUUUUUAUUUAUUUUUAAUUUAAAAUAUAAAGAAGGGAGGAAGGACUUACCUCUCUCGCCGGAUUCGUCGAGUCGGCGCUAUCUCCGUCACAGUCGGAGCCUUGGCGCGAGGCUGAGCGACGGCGUUCGAGGGUUGAGGAAACCCUAAAAGGGUCUGGUUUCUCCUCUGGAAAGGGAAACCCAAAAGAACAAAUAAAUGUUCUUGUUUAAUUUUCUUUUGUUCUUUUAGAAGCUAAAAGAUGGACAAAGCAGGCCGUUUGGUUUUUGGGGUGGGGUCCGCGCAUAUCAACCUUAAAUGGGAGAUUUGCGCUACUAAUCCCUCUUUUUUUUGUGACGUGUUUUAAUCAAGUCCACUGUUUUUUAAAAUUUGGCCCAAAUAUUUUGCUCGCGUGACGAUUUAAUCCAUGUCACUGCACAGUGCUUCAGCGAUUUGGGAAAAUUACUUUUUAAGUCCUCCUCUCAUGGCGCGCGUAUCAUUUUGGUCCUUCCUGGUGUUUUCUAUUUUUAAAUUUGGCCUUUUAACUUCGUUUAGCUCUCAGUUUAAUCCUUAAUGGUGCUUUUUAAGGUUUUUUUUUGUAGUUUAUUUUUUUAGUUUUUGUUAUUAUUAUUAUUAUUAUAUUAUAUAGUAUUAUAAUUAUACUUACAUAUAUACGCAUAUGUAUGCUAAUAGAUAUAUAUAUAUAUAUAAAAUAUUUCUCUAAUACAUAUACAUAUUUUUAUAUAUAUAUUGUUAUUAUUUCUUUUUUAGCUUUUAUAUACAUAUAUACGUAUAUACAUUUAUAUUUCUAUUAUAUUUAUAUUUUUUUUUUCAUAUUUUAUAAUAUAUAUACAUUCUUUUAAAAUUAUUAUAAACAUUUUAUUGUUCUACACAUUCCAUUAUUUUCAUAUUGCACCUAUAUAUAUAAGUAUCUAAAUAUGUACAUAUUUUCAUGAUUGACCUACUUAUAUACUCAUACAUUUUUAUUUUGUAAAUAUAUGCACGUAUACAUAUGUUUUUUUAUUUUUAUCUUCACAAUUUUCACAUACAUAUGUACAUGCAUAUUAUUAUAAGUUUUGUUUUGUAUAUUUCAUUCCCUUUUAGGUACACUUAUAUUUUUUAAAAUGUAUGCAUAUACAUGUUUUCAAAAUUCAUUUAUGCUUUAUACUUAUAUUUUGAAAACACAUAUAUACAUAUAAUUUAAAUUAAAAUAUUUGUAUCAUAUUGUACAUUACCUUUUUAACGUACCCUUUUUGAAAAUAUGUUUUGGUUUUAACCAUACAUCAAAGUUAUUUUCUCGCUCCAAAGGUUUUUUUUUUUUGAAUAAAAGCAAUGUUCGAAGCUUGAGAUUUUCGAGGGAAAUUGAGCCCUAACGUAUUGGGUUCAGAUUUUCUUUGUUAAUCUUAAAUAACCGAGGAUAUUCUUUAUUCAAAAUGCAUGAGCAUAAAAAUCAUUUUUGGGAACUUAACUUGUCGUGCCCUAACGUAUUGGGUGUGGCAUGUUACUUUCUCGAAAUAAAUAUUUUCGCAUGAAAUAAAAGUGAUAUUCAAAGUUCGGGGAUUAUGAGGAAUUGUACCCUAACGUAUUGGGACUCGAUUUCUUUACAUGACUUGAACAAUUUGUUAUCCUUUUACAAAUUUCAUCAUUCAAGCUUAUUUUAAAAUCUUUUUAACUUUCGACACUAAGACAUUAAAUGAUCAAUUCGGUACCGAUUUUGGGCGUCACGAGGGUGCUAACCCUUCCUCGUGCGUAACCGACUCCCGAACUCGUUUUCUCAAAAUUCGUAGACCAAAAUAAUUUUUAAGGUGACCCGAUCACACCUUAAUAAAAGAUCGGUGGCGACUCCAGUUUUGUUUUAAAAGUCGACAACUAAAAUUUUUGUUUUUCAAAAAACGGUUUCAACAAUGAUUUUUUUUCAAAAUUUUGAUUUUUGAAUAUUAUUAGAAAAUUAUUUGGUACAUUGUUCGUGGAGUUUUUAAACUCCAACAAAAUUAAUAGGUUAACAAGUGUCUUACAGGGGUAUAAUAAAAUAUUAAAAAAUAAAUAUUUAAAAAAAAGAUAUAUAUCAAUUUUUUAAAGUUACUUGUGGAAUAAAAAUAAUAUAUUAUCGGCGUACCAAAUACUCGCCUUUUUAAUUAAGAUUCAAAAAUAAAAAAAAGUUAGUAAAAUGAAUGGAUUGCAAAUUGAGAAAUUUGAUAUUGAAUACUAAAAUUUUCUUAAAAGAAGACAUAACAAGAUACGAAAGUUAGUGACUUAUUUGAUUUAAUUUUAAUUUUUAAAUUUAUGCAUUUUAUUAUGAAUUUUUAUUCUUUGUUGACUUUGUAAAAUUUGUCUGCAAUUUCCAAUUUUCAUUUCUCAUAUGAGUUUGAGAUAUAAAAAAAAUUACUCUUAAGAUUGGUGAAAUAGGGGUUACAGUCGAUACAAGAGUUCACUUUAUGAUAUGUGUAAUGAUUGUGUUCUUCGAAAUAUUGUUUACAGGUAGGAUAUUGAAGUUUUAUUAUUAGAGUUUCGUUAAAAGGUCAAGUGUUCUAUUUUGGCCUAAGACUCUAGGAGUUCUGUUAUCAAUAUUCUAAUUAUAAUCACGAUCUGUAAAAAAUAUAAGUAACAUGUGACAUGUAAAUGAAAAGUUUUAUGGUAUGAUAAGCCAUAAAUUAAGUGAAAAUGUUAGAAAGCGUAUGAUUAUAUUAAAGACAAAAAUAAUUAAUUUAGUUUAAUGAUUUGUAAAAUUGAAAAGUGAAAUGCAUGAAUUAUGUAAGAGAAUGUUCAUGAUCGAUAUGUGGUAUGUAAAUGACAAGGAAAAAAUUAUAUGACCAAAUAGUAGAAGUGAAUAAUGACAUUAGCUAAAUACUUUGUAUGUUCAAUAGUAGGUUGCGUUAACAGGCCUGCCCUCUAUGUGGCUUGGCUGUAGUUUAUUGCACCUUUGUACUUCUUUCUUUUAUGAAUAAAAUCAAUGUUGAUUAGAAAAAAAAGAAAACAAAAACAAAAACAAAUAGUAGAUAGCAACAAACAAAGAAAAAGAAUCUCAUGCCCCACUAACAUUUUUUUUUGUACGUUUAGUCAAAAUGAAUAUAAUUAAAAAUAUUAAAUAGAUGCCAAUUGAGGUUUAGUGUAGUUGAUAUUGGUAUUAUUAACUUUGCUCAGUCCAUAUUCCCAUAAUAUACGAUGGUCAUAUGUGAGUUUUAAUCUAGUUAAUUUAAUUUGUUGGCUUUAGUUUUGAUUGUACCGACUUUUAUUCUCGUUCUGCUCUAAUAAUUUGAUUCUAUUUUGUAAUUCUUUAUAUAAUUCGUGCUGUAAUGUUUGAUACUUGUAACAAACAAAUACAAUUUAAAAAAUAGCUAGUAUUUGGUACACUGUUAGAAUAUUAUUAUGAGAAAUUAUCUUUUAGGAAUAUCUAAAUGUAUUGUAUAUUAUUAUAUAUCUUUUAAGCAUAUAUUUAGGAAUAUAUUAUAUAUCUUUUCUAUUCCUACAUGACUACUGUUGUAUAAAUAUUAUGUAUAUUCUUGAAGCUUAUCAAUAAGAUUGAAAGGAAUUAUUACCCUAUUCUUAUCAUGGUAUCUAAGCUUGAUGUUUAACAAAAAAAAAAAAUCGUUGUUUGGUAGACUUCCUUUAAUUGAUGAUCUUUGUGUGUUUGGUUGCGUAUGUUUUGUUCAUAAUCAACAUUCUAAAGGUGAUAAGUUUAUUAGUCAAAGUCAAAAGCGUGUUUUUGUUAGCUACCAUUUUGUCAAAAAUAAAUAAAAAUAUAUUUUAAUAUAAGACAUUUUGGGACUGUUGACAUGUCAUUUCUGAGUUGUUUCCACGAAAUGCAAUCGAUACAUAAAUUAAUCAAUAGAAUAGCAUCGACUCUCAAAGACGAUAUCUAAACCUUGGAAACAUUCUUCCUUAUUUCUUGUCUUUUUCUACUUUGAUUGUGAUGUGAUUUGUUUGAUUCUAACCACUCCAUUAAAUAAAUCAUCCAAAAACAUAUAUUAAUGCGAGGAAUAGGUGGUUGAAGAAAGAGAAAGCAAAAAUAAUAAUAAUAAAAGGAAAUUAAUUAGGAAAAUGACCUUAUAUGAAAACACUCAUACAAUUGGAUAACUCAUUCACUCCACCUUUAAGAGGAGAAAAAGAAAAACCUUGUUUAUGUAAUACAUGGAUACCUAAUAAUUCAUUUAUACUUUGGUAUAAGACAUUUUGGGUUGUUAUUUCUGGGCUGUUUCCAUGAAAUAGAAUCGAAACUUGCUUUCCUACUUUUAAAGCAACUAAGAAGUCGUCUUUCUCAAUUUAUUACUUUCUGGCUAUGCUCUGUUAAGAAGAAAAACACAGAAGGGGGAAAACUAUCGGUUAUUGAUCAAAGCCAAAAGGUACUCCAUCUGCUUUUCUUUUCCCUGCUUUGCUCUUACUCUUUUGAAAUAAGCUUAGGCAGGCAGGUUUAACCAUGAGAAUAGACUUCUUUUAUGCUUUAAAUCUCUAAAAAGGGAUGAGUAUUAGGAAUGCUGCAUAAGCACUUGUGUUUGGGAUGUAUCAACAACUUGCUGCUUCAUGGUUAUUCAGAGGUUGGGUGAUUUCUCUUGUAGUCGACCACCUUUUUUUUAUUCGAUGCUUUAUUUCCAUUCAAAACUAUGUAUGGUUGGAAAGCUGGUUUGAUAGUCCACUAAAAUUAUAUGAAGAAUCAUUUAAAAAAACAAAUUAAAUAUAUAUUUUUUAUAUAUUUAAAAGUGUUUGUUUAUAUAUUAUUUAGAAAUUGCUUUUAUAACAUAAUAUACUAUUUUGAAAUUUGGAAUUUAAUAUUUAAAGAAUUAACUAAUUUAAAAAAUGUGCAGCGAACUAAAAAAAAAGAACAUUAAUGAACAAAAAAUUUUUUCUUAUAUAUUGUAAAAUUAUUGUUAGAAAUUUUUAGUAUAACAAAAAGAUAUUAUUGAUAUUAGUCACUCUUAUAUAAUGUAAAAACUAAAAUCAAACUUCCGUAAUUAUUUAUAUGAUUAAUAUUUUAACGAUUUAACCGUUUAAUUUAUCAAUAUAUAUAUAAUUGUACUUGUAAUGCAUGUAAAUUUUUGAACUGAUUCGAUAUCUCUAUCGUAUCGAUCUAAAAUAAUCUAUACACUAAUAUAUAAUCAACGAUUGAAUUUUUUUUACAAAAAUAAAAUAGUUAGAAGUUUUAAAUUUACAUCAAAUUUGACAUGUAUAACCUAUAUGAAUAGACCAUAAAAUAUAACAGUUGGAUCGUUAAAAUAUUAAUUAUAUAAAUAGUUACGGAAGUGUGUAAAAUUCCUUUAGCUUUUACAUAUAUAAGUGGAUCCUUCUCCUUAAUGUUAAUAAAUUUUAAUUUUGUUAUCACAUAAUAUUAAAAAUAUGAAUUAAUAUUAAAAAAUAAAUAAAAAAUAUAAAUAUAAAUAAAGUGAGUAUUUGGUACACUGACAAUGUACUUUUUUUAUUCCAUAAGUAGUCUUAAAAUAUUGACAUAUGUCUCUAUCUUUUAAAUAUAUUACUAUACAUUUGUAAGAUACUUGUCAACCUCCUGACCCUACUUGUAGAGUCUAAAACCUCCACUUACUAAAUAAGUUCCACAAUUUAUUAUUAAUAUUUAUUAGACAAAACAUGUUAUCGAACAAAAUAAAUUAAUUAUUAAUAAACACAUAUGAAAUAAAAUAUAAAUAGAAUGAUUUAUAAUUAAUUUAUUAAAUAUGAAUCAAAUAAAAACAUAAGAAAAAGUUGAAAUAAAUAAGAAUUGAGAUUUUACGAAACAUUGAGGCCUGUGAAACACAGUUUCCUUAAGAUAGAUUUGGCCGCUCCUACGGUACUUGGAGAAAUGUUAGUCGAAAGUCUCCCAGGAAACAAUAACAAAAGUGAUCAAAGUAGUAAACGAACGAAUUUUGCCUUUUUCUAUCACAAGAAUGUUUGAAAACAGAGAGGAAAAGGAAGAGUUUUUAAAUGAACAGAAUUUUGGCAUAAAAAAUUAUUUGACUGUGUUUAAUCCUCCAGAAUACACAACCUUUUAUAGGCAUUUAGGAUAACGAGCAAAAAAUCAAUUUGAUUUAAAAAUUAAAUCAAAUCAGAUACUGUCCAUAUAUAAGCAGAUUAUGUCUACUGAGGAAAAAUAAAUUCGUGUUGGGCAUAAAAUAUCCGCAAGGGUUAAAAUAUCCGCAUGGGCCCGACCGGUCCAAACAUUUCGCGUUGCCCACGUCAUGCAGGUGCACUCAACCCCAUUAGAUUUGGACCUACACCCCCCUUACGCUUGAGACAAUGUUACAAGCUUCGUUAUUCAAUUAUUUUUAAAGAGAGUUCACAUACAUAAGCACAUUGGUAUUUAACCAAUGUGGGAUCUGAGCCUUUACUUUUUCUCAACAAUAUUUUCAAGUAGCUUACUUUGAGCAUCAAUUUCUCAUUCACCACUCAACCAUUUUGAGCAUAUGAUAUACCAUUGUAAAGGUCUCAUGGAGUAGAAUAGAAACCGUAAAAUUAUGAUUCAACUCUCCACUUUUAACUAUUGAGAAUAUGCCUCAAAGUUUCCAUAAAAGUAAUUCUUCCAACAAUAUUUUUAAACUCCAUCAAUAAGGUCAAGAGAUUGACAAGUGUUUUAUAAGAGUAUAGUAAAAUAUAAAAAAAAUUAAAAAUUUUAAAAAAGAGACACUUAAACUUUUUAAAAUGGCUUGUGGAAUAAAAAAAUAUUGCUAGUAUACCAAAUAAUCACCCAUAAAUUAUUGCUUUAAUCAAAAUAUAAGAAAUAGGUAUAAUUUUGAAUUAGUUUAAAUUAAUUUAAAAGAAAUUUAAUUUCAUGAUAAAAAAUUUAUAUUUCAAAAUAAUUAGAAAGAUUUAAUUUUUAAAUAAUAAUUAAAAAAAUUUAAAAGAUGUGUUGUAAAAAUAUUCAAAGUGUAAAAAGGCAAUUUAUUCCUUCAAUGCUUAGGAAAAAGUAUUCCUUAAAAAAAGAUAAUUAUUAGAAAAUAUCAUUAGAUAUAUGUCUAUAUUAAUAAAUAGUUAUCUAUUAACAAAAUCACUUUAUUUGUCAUAAAAGUAACAUUAAGCACAUAUUUAUAAUUUUAAAAUUUUAACCCUUCAAUGGUAGUUAAGAUUAUGCAAAUGAGUUUUCUUUUUCUUUCUUUUUUUUAAAAUAUAAGAUAAUUCAAGUUUUGGUCUUCGUUGUCGCUGUGGUUAUUCAGUUUGCUCUCUCAAUGGAGUUUGUUAUUGCCAUCGUUGGCUCUAUUGUCGCUAAAGCUGUAGAGAAUACGAUCUCUCCUAUCAAAAACCAUGUCAAAUACCUUUCCAAUCAUCAGAAAUAUGUUGAGACCCUCAAGAACCGAGCUAAUAGGCUGAAAGAUGCAAGGGACGGAGUACAGAAUUCUGUUGAUACAGCUAAACGAAACGGUGAGGAGAUCGCAGGUGAUGUUGACAAAUGGCUGUCUGCAGUCGACGAAAAGAUCCUUGAACAAGUAGAGAAAGUGAUGCAAGAUGAAGAAAAAGCAAAGAAAAAGUGUUUCAUUGGUUUGUGUCCCAAUUUCAGGACUCGUUACAAGCUUAGCCUGAAAGCUGAAGAGGAGGCAAAGGCUGUUGCCGAGCUACUUGAACAUGGCAAGUUUGAAAGGGUUUCCUAUCGUGCAGCUCCGCAAGGUAUCGUGGUUGCACCAGUUAAAGGUUAUGAGGAAUUCGAGUCAAGAACGUCGAUUUUGAACGGAAUAAUGGAGGCACUAAAAGAUGAUAGCGUCAGCGUUGUUGGGGUGCAUGGUACGGGUGGGAUUGGAAAAACAACGCUGGUCAAAGAAAUCGCUAGAAAGGUAAAGGGCAAGUUGUUUGAUUCGGUUGUCAUAGCAACCGUAACUCAAGCCAUCGAUAUUGAGAAGAUUCAGAACCAAAUUGUAGACUUCUUGGGCUUGCAAUUUGAGGAACAGAGUAUGGUUGGAAAGGCAUUUCGACUACGAGAAAGAUUGAAGGAAGAGGAGAGGAUUCUUGUUGUCUUGGAUGACAUUUGGGGAAAGGUUGAUAUUGAGGAAGUAGGGAUUCCUUUGGGAGAUGAACACAAGGGCUGCAAAUUACUAUUAACUUCUAGAGAGCUCAAUGUUUUAUCAAAUGGGAUGGAUGCUCAGAAAAAAUUUCCCAUUGGGUUUUUAAAUGAAAAGGAAGCCUGGGACCUGUUCAAGAAGAAGGCUGGCGACUGUGAUGAAAGUUGCGAUUUGAAGCCUAUAGCUAUGGAGGUAGCCAACAAAUGUGCAGGACUACCGAUAGCCAUUGCGACAGUUGCAGGGGCUUUGAGAAACAAAAGAUUGUUUGAAUGGAAGAAUGCUUUACGAGAACUGGAGAGGCAUUCGUCAAGCAACUUCAUGGGGAUAGCUGCGGCAUAUUCAGCUAUAGAGUGGAGUUUUAAUUAUUUAGAAAGCGAGGAAGUUAAGCUGACUUUCUUGCUUUGCAGUGUAAUAGGCCAUAAUGGUCUCGUUGAGGACUUGGUAAGAUAUACUCUAGGUUUGGGUUUAUUUGAUGGUGUCCUCACUAUGGAAGAAGCUAGAAAUAAAGUAUUGACGGUUGUGGCUAAUCUCAAAGCGUCUGCCUUGUUGCUUGAUAGUUAUAAUGAUAAGCGCUUUGAUAUCCAUGAUGUUGUUUGGGAUGCUGCUAUAGCUAUCGCAUUGAAGGACUACCGUAUGCUUGUUUUGAGAGAUCAUGCUCCAAAGGAGUGGUCCGAUAAGGAGAAAAUGAAGACGUGGAAUGUGAUCAGCUUACGUUGUCCUCAGAUUAUAGCUAACCUUCCUAAGGAGAUGGAGUGUUCAGGACUUUCCUUUUUCCGUAUGGCCUAUGAUGGCGCGGUUAAAAUUCCUCCCAAUUUUUUCAAACAAACCGAAGACCUCAAAGUCUUAGAUUUGUUCGGAAUGCAGUUUCCAUCCCUACCUGAAUCAAUUAUUCACCUCACGGACCUUCGCAUGUUGUGUCUAAAAGAAUGUGCAGUUGAUGACAUCACCAUCCUUGGAGAGCUCAAGAAUUUAGAAAUCCUCGACCUUUCUAAGUCAGGUAUCAAAGAAUUACCUAAGGAGAUGGCACAAUUGACUCAAUUAAGGUUGUUAGAUUUGCGUUGGUGUAGAGAACUCAAAAUCAUCCCACCGAAUAUCUUAUCAGGUUUGUCUAAAUUAGAAGAAUUAUAUAUGAGGGGGAGCUUUGUUGAAUGGGAGAAGGGAGGAAUAGUUGAAAAUGAGAGGAAAAAUGCAAGCCUUGAUGAAUUAAACAAUUUGCCUUGUCUAACUACUUUAUAUGUUCAUAUUCUUGAUGUCCAAAUGAUACCAAAACACCGGUUUGUUGAAACAUUAGACAGAUUCAAGAUUUUCGUAGGUAAUUAUGGAGCAUAUAAUUGUUUCCAUAAUUAUGAAUCUCCGAAAACAUUGAAGCUCAUGUUAUAUACAAACAUUGAUUUGGACAAUGGGAUGAAAAUGUUGUUGAUAAAGACAGAAGAUUUGUGCCUAGAGGGACUUGAAGGCGUCAAGAAUGUAUUUGUGGAGUUAAAUAAUGGGAAAGAUCUUCCCAAUUUAAAGAGACUUCAUGUCAAAAAUGGUAGGCAUGUCCAAUAUAUCAAAACGAACAAAAUUGGAUUUUCUGAAUUAUGCUUCAUCAAACUUGAAAAUCUACCGCAACUCGUUAGCUUUUGCUCUCCAGACGAAAGGUGUUCCACUAAGCCCUUACUACUUUUCAAUAAACAGGUAUUUGUUUGGCUUUACUUAUAUUUUCUUAUACAACUUUUAUUUAUAUGCCCAUUAAUACUUCUAAUAAUAGAAAUAAAUAAUAUUGUGUAAUGAUUUUUUUGGAGCUAAAAAAUAAAUUUCAAAUCCAAAACAAAUGAAAAUUUAAUUUUUAAUCCAAAUCGAUUGAAAGUACAAAAUCAAUUCAAUAAUCUAAAUUUAAACCCAACAAUUUUUUUUAAUUCUUAAAAUGAAAUUUGAGCCCACAAAUUGAACUAAAAUUAUCUUUAAAAUUGAAAAUCAUAUUUUCAAAUUAUGUUACAUACUACCUUUAUUUUAAAAGAAUUGUGUGUAAAUAUGUGCAAUUUAUUUUCCCUCAAUCGAAAACCAGACAUGUCAUUGGAUUACGAAUUUGAGGAGGUUGAUCAUCAAAGGAUGCGGCAAGUUGGAGCAUCUGUUAUCACCCUCUCUCGCUAGAAGUCUGGUGCAGCUCCAAUACUUUCAGAUAGAGGAUUGCAAGUGCUUAAGGGACAUAAUACUUACAGAGGAAAUUGAAGAAGAAAGGAAAGAUGUGAUUUGUUUCCCUCGAUUAAACUCCCUGCAUAUAGUGGGUCUUCCAAACCUCAUCUUCUUCAACUCAGGAAACCACAAUAUUGAGUUCCCAUUGUUGAAAGUGCUAAAGAUUCAGCGUUGCCCCAAGUUAAUAGAAUUCAUUAGUCAGAAUAGUAAUCAGUCCGGCAUGCAAGCUCUCUUCAGUGAGAAGGUGAUUUAUUUCAUUAGUCUUACACUCUUGCAUAAAUCUGUUGAUUUGUCCUUGUUUUUUUUUUCUGCCUUCAUUAUUUGAGUUAACCUUAUUAUGGGCAUGGAUUAUAUAUAUAUUAUAUAUAUGAAUAGAUUGCAGUUCCAAGCUUGGAAGACAUGAAUAUCUCUAACUUGAGUAAUGUGAAGAUGAUAUUUUAUAAUGACCUAGCACCAGAUUCCUUUAAAAAUCUACAAAAAAUAAGUGUUUGGGGAUGUGGGAGUUUGAAAAAUCUAUUUCCAGUAUCAAUAGCCAAAGAUCUUCCACAACUUGAACAUUUACGCAUCACUGAUUGUGGAGUUGAGGAGAUUGUAUCGAAAGGGGAUGGAGUGGAGGAGCAGCCUGUGAGGUUUGAGUUUCCGCAAGUGUCUUACCUUGAGGUUAGUGGGGUAGAAAAGCUCAAAUGUUUCUAUGAAGGGCAACAUACAAUAGUCUGGCCGAUGUUGAAAAAAUUGACAACAGAUAGUUCUGCUUUGCUAAAGAUAGUGGCAUCGGAACAUCUUAGAUUAAUCCAAGGAAAUGAGCAGCCAGUUUUGCUGGUUGAAGAGGUAAGUAUAUCAUUACAACUAUAUUUCUUUUUAUGAUUUAAACCACUGCGACAAGCAUCUCAAGUUUAUAUUUUGUUUGAUUUGAAGUUUUUUUUUCAUAUUUUUGAAUUUUUAAUAUGUAUAUUUUAAUUUUUUUUGUUACAUUUAUAAUUAUUUUUUCAAUUUUUAAAAACAAGACUUAAUAAAUAUAAUAGGUAAAUAUUGAGUGUUAAUCUUGAUUUUUUAGAAUGUAGUUCAAUUUGAUAAAAUGUAUAAAUAUUGAGGUUUAAAUUUAUUAUUAUGAAAAAAAAAUGCUACAUUAGCAUCCUGUUAGGGACUUUGCAGCCUAGCAAUUAAGAUAUUUAAUUUCUCUAGCAACAGUGAUUAAAUUGAAAUUUUAGUUGUUUUUAAGUGACCAAAAUGAAAAUAUUUUAAGAAUUAAGUGACUGUAUAUGUGGGUCAAAACUAAAUAGAACGUUUAGUUUGCUAAAAAAAAUGGCCACUCAAUAAAAAGUCAAAAUUUUAAAAGUUAAUUACCCUGGACAUCUCAAACUAUGACCUUCAUUUUAAAUUAGUCCCAAAAUUUAAAACAUUCUAAGUACAUCCUUAAACUAUUGAGGUUAUAUCAAUUAGGUCUUUUUUUAUUAAAUUCGUUAAUUUAACCAUCAAAUUAAGUCAAUCUAAUAUUUUAAAACCUUGGUGUUUUAUCUACACUGUUCUGCUUAUAUUUUUUUAUCAUAGAAAUAUAUAUAUAUAUAUAUAUAACAAUGGUUGUUUAUCUGUUUUAAUCUAGAUUUGCUACUCUUCUUUCGGCUUUCAUGUUGUGUAAUUUUUAUCAGUUUUUAUUCUCAAGGUAUUGUGUUUUCUUAAAACAAAAAAAUCAUCUACUCUGGAUUCAUUUGAUUUAAUAUUGAUUUUGUUGGGAUUUAAUCAUCAAAAUCAAACACUAAAAUUGUAAAUCUUUUUUGUUUGUUUGUUUGUUUAUUUAAAGCAUAUACAUCAACAUUGAGCCUAACUUGUAUAUAUUUAAUUGGUUUCCAAGGUCAUUCCCAAAUUAGAGGAACUUGAGUUACGAAAUUUUGGUGAUGUGGACCAAUUUCCACCAGACUUGUUUCAACGUAUUAAAGUUUUUGCAGUGAGUGGUGGCUCUCCAUUUUCUUUAUUUCCUUUCGUCCGAAGAUUCUACAAUCUGAAAAGACUUGAGGUUUCUAAUUUUGAUUUCAAACAUGUAGUCCCUUGUAAAGAAGACGUCGAGACUCUCCCAUCAAUUAGAAAUCUGAAAUUGGUUUCUGCCAGAAAUCUUAAGCAUAUUUGGAGGAAAGAUUCGGAGCUUGACCAUAUUCUUUCUGAUCUUCAAACACUCACAAUUCACAAUUGUGAUGAUUGGAUAAACAUUAGAGUCUUCUCAUCAUCUUUACAAAAUCUCACAAUUUUGAAUGUGUCACUUUGUAAAAUGAUGACAAACUUAGUUACACCCUCAGUACUUAAGAAUCUUGUGCAAUUAACGACAAUGAUCGUAAGAGAGUGCACUAAAAUGACAGAAAUAGUGGGAAACGAGGGAGACUGUCAUCAGACAAUAGUUGUUAGUAAAUUGAAAUGUUUACAACUAUGCAAUUUGAAGAGCCUCACAAGCUUUUGUCCGUGGUAUUACAACUUCGAGUUUCCUUGUUUGGAAGAAUUAGUUGUGGAACAUUGUCCUUGGUUAAAGAUCUUUUCUGAGGGAGUUUUAAGCACCCCACAAUUACAGAGAAUAAAACAGUCGCAUUACCGUGAGAAAUGGAGUUGGACAAGUGACCUUAAUACCACCAUACAACUGCUCAACACAGAAAAGGUACAAAGUUAAUAAGUUCAUAAUGCUAGCUAGAUUCCUCAUGUCCUAAUACAAUUAAUUUUAUUACUACUUCAAUAACCAUUGAAGAUUGUUAAUCGUUAUUUUGUUAUUGUCUCCAUUUUCUAUUUAUGAUUGCUAUCUAGUGGAAUAAUAUCAGAUUAAUUUUUAGGAUGGACUCUAUGAUUUCAACAUCUCUGACACAUUUCCGGAGUCGAUAGAAAUAUGGACUAGAAACCCUCAAGAAAUUUUGGUAUUCAAAAACUUUAGCAUCCUGCAGUUUUAUAAAUGUAGCAGCUUGAAGUACAUAUUUACUCCGUCUAUGCUUUUGAGCCUCAAUCUACUACGAAGGAUAGAAGUGGAAGAAUGCAGUUCAAUGGAACAAGUAGUUAGGGAGGAGGAGGAAGCCAUGACACAUAAAUUUACAUUUCUGUCGCUACUCUCCGUAACAAUUAAGUCGUGUUCCAACUCGACAAAUUUCCAUUUGGGAAGUCAAGCUCUUGAAUUUCCAGAGCUGAGGAAUAUCACGAUAGAGGAGUGUCCAAAAAUGACUGCAUUUUCUUCCUCAGUUUCAAGAGAGAGUGGUGAUGCAAGUGAAAGCGUGGUUGGCGAAGGGGGCAUCUAUGAUAACACUGCAACUUUUUUCAGCAAUAAGGUAAGUUUGGUAUUCAAUAUUUAUCUGCACAACUUAUUUCACAUUUUCUUUUGAUUUGAUCAACAUGAGUGUGUCUGGUCUAUAUAUACAUACUAGUGCUACACCUUGUCAAAAUUGAAUAUAAUAAAAUCCAUAUAUUAAUAAAUAAGAUAUAUUUAAAAAAAAGUUGAAGUUUAAAGUAUAAAUAAAUUGUUGGAACAAUGAACAUAUAUAAAGGAAACAAAACAGUUUCUUGAGCUUUAAGGCUCGAGACUUGCAGAACAAACAAUAACAGAAUUAAGCAUGUAAGAACCAAAUGAAACUAAGAUUGAGAGAGUAUUGAAUGAACAAUUCUUAGAGGAAUUUUCAUUAACUGAAACAAUGGCAUAAUGCCAAUACAUAUACCAGACAUGAGCUGGUCAAGGAAAACAACUUGAUUACAUAAACAUCACCUACUAUCACUAAGUAACCUUAGAACUAAUAAAACAUAACUUGCACACUUAGUAAAGCUGUUUUUUCAGCUCAAACAUUGACAAAAAUUCAUCAAGUGCGAUGACAACUUGGUUCAAAUCAAACUAAGUUACAAAAUGUUGAUCAAAGUAACAAAACUAAGCUAAAACAGCAUUACCAUCUUCAGCUGCAACAUGCAUGGCUCGGGCAGUUUCUGUUGCUGCAUGUCAGCAUGCUGGCCAGCUUCAACACUCCUCCUUGGCUUGCAUGCUGCAAACUCCCAAUCUCAUUCUCAAAUGCUCGAACCUUGAUAUACUAAGGGGCUUUGUCAGAAUGUCAGCAAGUUGAUCCUGAAAACUGCAAUGAAUCAGUUUCACCUCAUUAGCUUAUUCUAUUUCCCUAACAAAAUGAAACUUAACCUUGAAGUGCUUUAUUUUUCCAUGGAACACUGGAUUCUUUGGAAUUACAACAGCAGACUGGUUGUCACAGUUGAUCUCUGUUGCUUUCCUUUGGUGUAAAUUCAAGUCAGUCAUGAUCUUUCUUAGCCAAAUGGCUUGGUUAACAGCAUUAGCAGCUGCUACAUACUCUGCCUUAGCUAUUGACUGAGCAACUACUGUUUGCUUCUUUGAACUCCAACAAAAAAUAGCUGAACCAAUGGUAAACAGAUACCCUGAGGUGUUUUUCAUGUCAUCUAUCGAUCCAGCCCAAUCACAUCUGCAUAUCCAAACAGCUUCAUGCUUUCAGCCUUGGUGAACAUCAUUCCAAAGCUCAGCGUACCUUUAAUGUACCUGAGAACUCUUUUAGCAGCUUGGAAGUGCUUCACAUUACAGCAAUGCAUGAAUCUAGAUAUCAGACUUACAUCAAACAUAAUAUCUGGUCUGGUGGCAGUCAAAUAGAGCAGGCAUCCAAUCAAGCUUCUGUAGGUUGAUUUACAAACCUUUUCGAAAUCACCUUGGCUUGACAGCUUCUCUCCAACAACAACUGGAGUGCUUGUUGCCUUACAGUUUAGCAUGGAGAAUUUGUUCAGAAUCUUCAAGGUAAAUGCCUUCUGACUUAGGAAGAUCCCUGAUUGAGUUUGAGACACUUCCAUGCUAAGGAAGUAGCACAUUUAUCCUAAAUUAGACAUCUUAAACUUUUUCUCUAUUUUUCCUUUCAAAUCAACCAGCAAUUCAUGACUUUGACCUAUCACAAGUAGGUCAUCAACAUACAAGGACACUACAAGCUGUGUUUCAAUACCUUUCUUCUUCACAUACAAGGUUGGCUCACUGAUGCUUCUCUCGAACCCCAAGCUAGCCGGGUAGCUAUCGAUUCUAUCAUACUAGGCUUUUGGUGCCUGUUUUAAGCCAUACAAGGCUUUCUUCAGUUUGUACAUUUUGUCCUCUUCACCAACAACUUUGAAACCUUCAGGUUGCUCGAUAUAAAUCUCUUCUUCAAGGAAACUAUUGAGAAAAGCUAACUUUACAUCGAGCUGAUGUAUUUUCCACUGCUUUUGUGUAGCCAAAGCAACCAGCAGCCUGAUUGUGUCAAGUCUGGCUACUCGUGCAAAUGUUUCAAAGUAGUUAAUACCAUACUUUUGACUGAAUCCCUUCACUACCAGUCUUGCUUUCAGCUUGUUCAGAGUUCAAUCAGCAUUGUGCUUGGUUCAAAACACCAAUUUCACUCCAAUAAUUUUCCUAUUGACUAGUCUAUCAACUAGCUCCCAGGUCUGGUUCUUUUGAAUCAUGUUCAUUUCAUCGAGCAUAGCCUGUUUCCAUCCUUGUUGAGCUUCAGCUUCUUCAAAACAACUUGGUUCAACUGCAGCCACUUCAGCUCUUUCAUAAAUUUCACUUAAAGGUCUGGUUUCCCUGAUUGGUUCGUGGUCAAUAUCCAUUUCAGGACCAUUUUGAUCAGCUUCAGUCUAAUCAGUUAGCAGAUCUUCAGUAGCAACUUCUAGAUCAUUUUUAUCCUAAUUCCAUCAUGUCUUCUCAUGAAACACAUCCCUACUUACAAAGACUUCAUUAGUUAAAUGAUCUAGGAUCCUGUAGCCUUUCUUCACACUGCUAUUGCCUACCAGGAUACCUAGUUGUGCUUUCUUGGCUAAUUUAUCCCUCUUAACAGCUAAGACAUGUGCAUAGCAUAUGAAGCCAAGGACCCUCAGAUCAACUAGUAAUGGUUUGAACUGAAACCAGGCUUCAAAUAGAGUUUUAUGAGCCAAUGCUUUUGUUGGCAGUCUGUUUUGAAGAUAUACAGUAGUGUUAACUGCCUCAGCCCAUAAGGUUUUUGGCAAAUUCUUCUCAAACAACAGACAUCUUACCAUAUCCAUCAGGUUUCUAUUUUUUCUUUCACUAACACCAUUCUGUUGUGGUGUAUAGGUGUUGGUAAGUUGAUGCUUGAUGCCUUUUUCAUCAUAGAAACUCUAAAACAUUACUGAGGUAUGCUCUGUCCCAUUGUCUGACCUUAAUGUCUUCAGAUUGCAACCUGUUUCUGUUUCUGCUGCAAACUUGAACUUCUAAAAUACUGAGGCCACUUCUGAUUUUUGUUUUAAGAAGUAAAUCUAACAAUACCUCGAGUAAUCAUCAAUAAAAAGAAUGAAAUACUUGCUACCAUUCAAGGAUGGUGUUUUCAUAGGGCCACACACAUCAGUAUGAACCAACUGCAGUUUUUGUGAGGCUCUCUGGGCUUUGUUCAAGGGAAAUGGCAGUCUGACCUGCUUUUCUAAUUGACAUACCUCACAAACAUCCUCAUUCUCAACAGAAUUGGUGAAAUUUUCCACCAAAGCUUCUUUGGUUAGUUUAGCCAGUGAGUUGUAGUUGACAUGGCCUAACUUCUUGUGCCACAGCUUGGAUUCAUCUAGUACUACUAUGUAGGCACUGUCUGAGCUCUUAUUCUAGUCUACUACAAAACUUCUAUUAGCCAUAGUUACUAACAUAAGCUUAGAUCCACUUGGAUCACUGAUCAGGCAUUAUUUGCCUUUGAACACAAUUAAAUAGCCCUUUUCUAGCAACUGAGCUAUAUUAGCAAGUUUCUGUCAAUUUCAGGUACAAACAAGACAUUUGAGGCAAGUUUGUUACCUGUUGAAGUGUUAAUCAGCACAUCUCCUUUGCCUUCUGCCUUGAUGAAGUGUCUAUUUCCAACCUUCACCCUUGUUUUGAAGCUUCUGUCGAUGCUCUUGAAGAUUGCAGCAUUAGAAGUCAUAUGGUUUGUGCAACCACUGUCUAUCAGCCACCCUUUUAUGACUUUUCCUUUGGCAGCUGAGCAAGACACUACAAAGACUUGCUCUUCCUGGUCACUACCUUGUUUUUCCACUUGAGCUUCAGCUUUUGGCUGUUGAGGUUGACUUUGUCUCAGCUUGCCUUUGUUUCUACAAACUUUCUUAGAGUGACCCAUCUUUUUGUAGACUUUGCACUGCACAUCAGGCCUAAACCAACAAUUUUCAGUUGGAUGACUGAGUCUUUUGUAGUAUGGGCAAAGUGGAUAUCUCAUUCCUACUCUAUCUCUUCUAGGCUUGUUAAGCCAGACUUUUCUCCAUUUAUUGUCAAAGAAGCUUGAGACAAGUUUGCUCUUGGCUUGAAAGGUACCUUCUUGAUGCUCCUCUUGUCUUCUAGCCCUUCUUUGCUCUUAUGCAUAAAGAGCAUUGAUCAGCUCAGUCAAAGAGAUACUUAUCAGAUCUCUUGAAUCUUCAAGGGAUGAGACCUUGGCUUUAUAUCUCUUGGGUAAAGUUGAGAUAACCUUUUCUACAAUUCUUGCUUCACUAAACUGGUCCUCAAGCAAUCUAAUACUGUUCACUAUAGCCAUGAUUUUGUUUGAAUACUGCUUCACUAUUUCUUCCUCCUUCAUCUUCAAGUUUUCAAAGUCCCUUCUCAAAGUCAGUAGCUGUUGCUUUCUUAUUCUUUCAGUCCCUUGAAACUCUUUCUUUAGCUUAUCCCAGGCUUGCUUUGGUGGCUCACAAAUUAUGAUUCUUGUGAAAAUCACAUCAGACAUACUGUUUUGAAUGCAAGACAUAGCCUUGUGUCUCUUAGUUCAUUCAUUUGCAUGCUGCCUGAUCUAAGCCAUUAUAGGAUUGGCUCUUAGAGGUGCUAGUUCAAAAUCUGAGUUAACAACUUCCCACAAGUCAAAUGCCUGCAGGAAGGUAUUCGUUUCACUACCUAAAUGUGGUAGCUUUCACCAUUGAACACUGGUGGUAGAGCUGGUGAGAAUCUAGAUGAAGACAUGGUUCUUGAACUUGAAGAAUGAUAGGUCCAUUGAGAAACAUGCUCUAGAUACCAACUGUUGGAACAAUGAACAAAGAUAAAGGAAACAAAACAAUUUCUUGAGCUUUAAGGCUCGAGACUUGCAGAACAAACAAUAACUGAAUCAAACAAUUAAGAACCAAAUGAAACUAAGAUUGAGAAAGUAUUGAAUGAAAAAUUCUUAGAGGAAUUUUUAUUAACUAAAACAAUGACAUAAUGCCAAUACAGAUGCCAGACAUGAGCUGGUCAAGGAAAAUAAUUUGAUUACCUAAACAUCACCUACUACCACUAAGUAACCUUGAAACUAAUAAAACAUAACUUGCACACUUAGUAAAGUUGUUUUAUCAGUUGUUUUAUCAGCUCAAACAUUGACAAAAUUUCAUCAAGUACAGUGACAACUUGGUUCAAAUCAAACUAAGUUACAAAAUGUUGAUCAAAGUAACAAAACUAAGCUAAAACAGCAGCACCAUCUUCAGCUGCAACAUGCAUGGCUCGGGCAAUUUCUAGUGCUUCAUGUUAGCAUGCUGGCUAGCUUCAACGUAAAUAUAUAAAAUAAGAAUUGAAAGGAAAACUUAAAGUUAAAUACUAAUAAACAAUAAGAAUUUAAGAGAAGUUUUAAAUUAAAUACUAAUAGACAAUAAAUAAUAAAAUAAUAAUAGAAAAAAGAAAACUAAUCUUCCUUUAUUUUAAUUUGUUGGUGUAUAAGAAGGAGAUAAUUGUGGAAGACCUUCACAAAGGUCAUUUGAGAUCAAAGGAGAAGAAGCAAGAAAACAAAAGGUUAGGAGUUUGAAGAAGAAAGAACCAAAUAUAUAGAGGAGAAUUGAAGUGAGAGGUAGAUGGGUUUUAUUUAAAGAUUUAAUGCUUUUUUUUUAAUUUCAUAUAUAGAAAAAAUCAUUGAAAGAAAAAAAAGUUCAAUAUAAUUAUUUAAAUUUACUUGUCGGGUUUUUAUAAAAGUAACUCAAAUUUUUGAUUAAUUAUGAAAAUGACUCAAUUUAAAAAUUAUGUACAUAAAUUAUUCGAUUUCUAUAGUGUUUUUCAGUGCCGCCAGACACAAUGGCUGCACCGACCUACCAUCAUUCACUAAUGAUUGUAUUUUAUUUAAAAAUAAUAGUUUUUUAGUAGUGCCGUUGGAAAAACUGGCGGUAUCAAACUGAAGUGUGAUUAUAUAAAAUGUUCAUAGGCUUGACGAAGUAAUUACCCUUUUUUAAUUAGCGGAAAAAGGGGUCUUCGUGUGAAUAUGGGGCACCAAAUUAAAUGCUCUUCAUCUUUUGGUCUAUUUGCAUAUUAGGUCUAUCCCCUUUUAAAAUUAAAUUUAAAUAACACUUAAGAAAUACAAGAAUAACAAAAAUAAACCAUUCUCAUUUUUUUUAUUUUUUUUAUAAAAUUCUUAUUUAAGUUACCCAAAUAUACCCCUCACACAAUUUCCUCAAGUUUAUCUAAAUUCAAGCAUUCUCAAUUCAUUCCCUAGUAUAUUUAAAUUUAGAUAAACUUAAGGAAAUUUUUUGAGGAAUAUAUUUGGGUAAUUUGAAUAAGAAGUGCUAUUUAAAUCUAAUUUUAAAAGAGGACAAAUGUAACAUGAAAAUAGGUCAAAAGUUGAAAAACAUUUAAUUUGGUUCAGAUACGAACGACAACCCUUUUUCAACCAAUCUAAAAAUGUUAACCGCUUCAAAGGAUCCCUGCACAUUUUAUAUAGCCACAUUCAGUCUGGUGCCGUCAAUUUAUUAGGCAACACCACUACAAUUUUUUUAAAAAAGCAAUCAUUGGCUGAUGAUGGGGGCCGAUGCAGUAAGCACUAUAGAAAUCAAGUCAUUUACGAACAUGAUUUUUAAGUUGGAUCAUUUUCGUAAUUAACCAAAAAAAUUUGGUUACUUUUAACUGUCUAGUUGAUGUGUGAAUAUUAACCUUUGGAUCAGUUUAUAAAUCUUCAUACUCAUCUACUCAUUUUGAUUGUCUUUCAAAGUACAGAAGGAAGAGUGAUACUAUCUUAUAAUGAUAUUUAUGUCAACAGGUUGUCAUUCCUAGUCUGGAGCGUCUGGAUUUGUCCUCUAUCAACAUUCAUAAGAUAUGGCACCACUCAUCCUCCCCAUCUAUGGGAUACCUAAAUUUCUUGAAGGUGAAGAGGUGUCACAAUUUGAAAUACAUGCUCCCGUCUUUUUUAGCAAAAGAUCUUGUGCAACUCCGAUUCCUUCGAAUUUUGGACUGUAAUAUGAUGGAACAAGUAAUAUUCACGGAUGGAUUGGUUGAGGAACAUCAAGGGAGGAAUCAGAUGUUUUUCUCUAACUAGAAUUGCUGUGGCUAAAACACCUUCCCAAACUCACAAGUUUGUCCUUUGAAAAUUACUUUGAAUUUCACUGUUUGGAAUAUUUAGUACUAACAAAUUGUCCAUUGCUAAAAACCACUAAAUGUGUAUCCGAAGAUGAACCUGAAAUUGGCCAACAUGUACAAGCAAGUAACUUGGAGGUUCAUAACUCAUCUCUCCUCAAUGAGAAGGUCAUUUCUUCACAGAUUCUCCUUUUAAUUUAUGUUACUUUGAUUGAUCUUAUUCAUUUGAAGUUCUUUCUUUUUCAUACAUAUUUCAGUUAUUAACCUAAUGAAAUGAUUUAUUAGGUUGUUUUCCCUAGUUUGAAGAGGCUGCAGAUUCAAAAUUGUGAUUUGUUAGAAGAAAUUAUUGAGCUGCAAGGACUCAUUGCUGAUGAGUCACAGUCAACAUCAGCUGCUCAAUCUAUUGUGACUGAAACAGUGAUGACCAAGUUUUUAUUUCCCGAACUAAUAUACCUUAGAUUGUGUAAGGUGCCAUGAUUGAAAAGUUUCUACUCUAGGAUGCAUACCACCCAGUGGCCUUCAUUGAAACAAAUGGACAUUAUUGAAUGCC
This 32496-nucleotide long non-coding RNA is filed under the name Gossypium barbadense (sea-island cotton). RNAcentral describes it as "long non-coding RNA (GBAR_LNC020368)". The record is from RNAcentral. Lineage: Eukaryota; Viridiplantae; Streptophyta; Magnoliopsida; Malvales; Malvaceae.